Molecule: long non-coding RNA, 1983 nt
Organism: Macaca mulatta (Rhesus monkey)
Lineage: Eukaryota; Metazoa; Chordata; Mammalia; Primates; Cercopithecidae
Source: Ensembl
AUGAGUGAAGAAAGAAUUAAUGAGGUUCUCCUGCAGCAUCUCAAUUCACAGUUGAAGCAGAGGCAUAGGUCUGCUGUCAUUGAUGGAAAUCCACCUCUACAGUGCACUGACAUUAUGCAAAAGCAUCUGCUACUACAGAGGGACUGCAAACCAACUGGUACGCAGGGCUCUGGAUUGGUACAGGGUAGAGGUCUUCUUUUGCUAGGGAGAGGCAGAAAAGUCAUUCUCACCAAAUACCCCAUUGUCUUAGUCCAUUUACACUGCUAUGAGAAAACACCACAGACUGGGUAGCUUUUAAAACACAGAAAUUGAUUUAUCAUUGUUUUGGAGGCUGGGAAGUCUAAGACCAAGGCACCAGCAUAUUUAGUGUCUGGUGAGAGCCUGCUUCCUGGGAUCAUCUUUUCACUGUGUCUUUGGUGAAAGGGGUGAAUGAGCUUGCCGUAGUCUCUUUUUUAAAAGGGCACUAAUCCUACCGUGAGGGCUCUACACUCAAGACCCAGUCACCUUCCAAAGGCCCUACCUCCAAAUAUCAUCACAUGGGUCGUUGGGAUUUAACAUAUGAAUUCUGGGGGGAACACAAAUAUUCAAGCUAAAGCACCCACCAAUAUAGGACAGAGUUUGGCUGGCAUGGAAUGAGGGUGGGGUGCUCACUCUUUAGACUCUGUAUUUGAGGAGAAAGCAAAGCUUGUUUGACAGUGGGAAUGGAACAAAAAUGAUGAGAAAUCUCAUCCUUUGAUGCUCAGGUGCUCAUGACUUGCUGAAGACUGAUACUGGAACAGAAGAGCUGAGAAACACACCUGCCCCCUACCUCAAGCCCUGCACCAAGUAAAAGUCAGCAGAAAUAUACCCUGGGGAAAGGGCUAGAGUGUGACUGGAGAUCUUGCUGAAAGCUGGAGGUGGAGGAGGAAUACAAAGAAAAGAUUUUAGUACUCCAGGCUUCACAGUAAGUAAAAGUAGCAGUCAUCUACUACUAGAGAAUUUUGAAGUCUCUGGUAGACUGAAAGUAACUAGAGCAACAUAUAACCAAACACAAGACAGCUACUGGAAUGAUUGGACCGAGUGACCUGACAGAAGAAGAAGCAUGCCCAUUUCCAGAAAUAAAUCCUUUUUAUAUCAGUCUCUCUAUACACCAUGUCUACCAUUCAACAAAACUUAUGAGAGACAAGGAAAAAACAACCCUCAUUGUCCAGAGGCAAAAGUAAUCAACAGAAACAGAUUGAGAAAUGAUCUGGUGGCUGGAAUUAUUACACAGUAAUUUAAAACUAACUAUAAUAUGUUUAAUGACAUAGUAGAUGAGAUAAAUGGGAUGCAUGAACAGAUAAGGAAUUUCAGAGAGAUUACAACUUUAUGAAGGAGUCAAAUGGAAAUGCUAGAAAUGAAAAAUGCCAUAUCAGAAAUAAAUAAUUUUAUCAAUUAGCCUAUAAGCAGACUGGAUACAGAAAAAAAAAAAAUCAAUGAUCUUGGAGACAGGUAAAUAGGAAUUAUGACAAUGGUAAUGCAAAGAAAAAAUGAUGGUAAACAGUAAAGCUUCCAACAGAUUUGAGCUAUUUAAUAUUUAUAAAACAUUCUCCUCAACAAUAGCUGAAUACAAAUUUACAUUAAAUGCAACAGAAUAUUUACCAAGUUGUAUCAUUUUCAGGAUGAUAAAAGAAAAUUCAAUAAAUGUUAAAAGAUUAAAAUCAUAUAUGAUUUAUGAUUUCAGCAAAAUAAAACUAAAAUCCAAAAGCAGCAUGAUGGGGGUUUUCCCCCAGCUUUAUUGAAGUAAAAUUAACAAAUAAAAACGUGUAUGUUCAAGGUGUACAACUUCAUAUUUUGAGAUAUAUGUGUGUGUGUAUAUAUAUAUACACACACACACACACACAUUAUGUAAUAAUUACCACAAGCUAAUUAACCUAUUCAACACCAUGAGUGCAUGCGCACACACACACAUUCACAUCACAAGAGGAAAUAGAAAAUACUCUGAAUAACAAAACAAACAUUAGA